UGUAGAAGGAGCUUCUACAGAACUAGGACUGUUUCAUUCAAAAGAAAUCAUCAGGAAGCUUGCUGUCAAAAUAAGUCUUGGCAUUUAUACAUUUAGGCAGAUUUAAUGGGGUGGUGGUGGUGGGGGACAUAUAUAUAUACAUAUAUACAUACAUACAUACACACACACUCAUUUUAUUUAAUUGGCAGAAGUUACAGAUUGACUCAAGGAUCAAGAGUUUUUAUUUUAUUGGCAUUUAACAAAUGGAUUUGAUAAAUGUAUGAAGCUUUCAGCCCUGAAGACACUGAGUAAUUUCCACCAAUUAAAUAUAUAUAUAUAUAUAUAUAUGAAUGUGGUAUAUAUAGAAAUCAAAACAUGAAUAUAUAUAUAUAUAUAUAUAUAUAUAUAUUUUCAUGUUUUGAUUUCUAUUUUCCUGUUUGCAUCACCAAACAUACAUACAUAUAAACACCCAUCCACACACACAGACAUAUAUAUAUAGCCACCUGCCCAGGUGGGAGUAUGUGGAAAUAAGGAGGUUAGAAUAGUGGCCCAAAAUAAUUUUCCUUUGCAAUUUGGAUUAACUUAAAUUAGAAUUUAAAUUUCUUAAAUAUAUAACUUGAGCAUAGCUAUAAUUAGUCAGAACAAUUAUAUACCCAUUUCUUUAUUACCCACAAGGGGCUAAACACAGAGGGGACAAACAAGGACAGACAUAGGUAUUAUGUCGAUUACAUCGACCCCAGUGCGUAACUGGUACUUAAUUUAUCAACCCCGAAAGGAUGAAAGGCAAAGUCGACCUCAGCGGAAUUUGAACUCACAACGUAACACAGACGAAAUACCGCUAAGCAUUUCGCCCGGCGUGCUAACGUUUCUGCCAGGUCGCUGCCUUAAUUAUAUACCGUCUAGUGAACAUACUUUUGUGAUUUAAAAAAAAAAUUUACAGUGAAGGGAUUGGAGGCUUACUAUGAAUGUUAGGGGUUGAGAAAAAAAAAAAAAGAAAUGAUGAAGUGCCCUACAUUAUAACGAUUAACGAUUAUAUGCAAUUGCUAGUGCUAGCUAUAAUGAUACAUAUUUUUAUCUGUUAGUAUUACAAUAAUGCAUUAACAGCUACUAGUGUUAUGUUACACGCAGAGCCACCAAUACUGAAAUACUGCAUAUGGAGCUACUAGUGAUGUCAUAAUGCAUAUAAAGUCACUAAUGUUGUAAUAAUGCAUAUAUGGUUACUAAUGACAUAAUUAAACACACAUACAGUCACCAGUGACAUAUGAGGUACAUUCCAGGAGUUUUGAGACUUUUUUAAGAGAGGCAGUUAUAAAUGUCCCAGAUUAUAGUAAUUUUAAUUUAUCAUUAUUAUGGAUCAAAUGAACUGACAUGCCAACAUCAUACUCUACUAAACACUGCUUGUUACAAUUCCAUCCUGGUAACCAACUAAUUGACAGAAAUGAGCAUCAGAACUACACCUCACCCUCUCUACAGUCCAGACCUUGCUCCAUGUGACUUUUGGUUGUUCCCCCGAGUUGAAUGAGAACCCCAAGGGCAAUUGCUUUGAAGACAUUGAGAAGUUGGAGGCUGAACACCUUCACUUUGGAGAACCAACAUGGUGUGUUCGUGAAGUGGCUGAAAUCCUACAACAAAUGUGUUGAAAUCAGGGAAUCCUAAAUUUUUUUUUUUUCCUUCUCGAGCCAUCCCUGGCUCAUAAGGGCCGGUUUUCCGGUUUCUUGGCGUAUAGGUUCCCCACCUGGACGGGACGCCGGUCCGUUACAGGUGAGCUGCAAGAUGCAGGAGGAAAAGAGUGAGAGAAAGUUGUGGCGAAAGAGUCAGCAGAAGUUUUGCCACUACCUUCUGCCGGAGCCGCGUGGAACUUAGGUGUUUCGCUCAUAAACACACACAUCGCCCGGUCUGAGAUUCGAACCCGCAAUCCUUCGACCACGAGUCUGCUGCUCUAACCACUAGGCCAUGUGCCUCCACACAGAACCCUAAUUUGAAUUUGAUUAGAGCUUUGUACUUCUCUGAAAUUAACAAAUGUCUCUUCUGAAAAAGUUUCAGACAUUCUGGAAUGUACCUUGUAGUGAUACACACUUAGAGCCACCAGUACUGAAAUACUUAAUAAGUAGCUACUAGUGAUGUAAUAAUGCAUAUAAAGUCACUAGUGAUGUAAUAAUGCAUAUCUGGCUACCAAUGACAUAAUUAUACACAUAUACAGUCACUAGUGACAUAACAAUACACAUAUAGAGCCACUAGAGCUGGAAUAAUGCAUAUAUGGUCAAAAGUAUUGUAAUAAUGCAUAUAAAGCCACUAGUGACAUUAUGAUACACAUGCACAGCCACCAGGAUUUUGUAAUAAUGCAUACACGUCUAGUGACAUCAUGAUACACGCAUGCAGUCACCAGUACUGUAAUAAUGCAUAUACAGUCACCAGUGACAUAGUGAUACUCAUGUACAAUCACUAGUGACAUUAUGAUACACACGUAGAGGCACUCUCUCUCUUUCGGAGAGGCACUGAGCAGCUAUACGCACACAUACACACACGGCAGUAACUUCCACAUACCGAAUUCAAUCACAAAGUUUCGGUCGACUCGGGGCUAUAGCAGAAGACACCUGCCCAAAGUGCCACGCAGUGGGACUGAACCCGAAACCAUGUAGCUAGAAAGCAAGCUCCCUAACCACACAGCCAUACCCGCGCUAAUACUAAGACAUCAUUAUAGUAUUGUAUACACGUGAAGGCGCAUGGCUCAGUGGUUAGAGCAUCGAGUUUAUGAUCGUGAGGUUGUGAGUUCGAAUCCCGGACUGGGCUGCGUGUUGUGUUCUUGAGUAAGACACUUUAUUUCACGUUGCUCCAGUUCACUCAGCUGUAGAAAUGAGUUGUGACGUCACAGGUGCCAAGCUGUAUCGGCCCCUUUGCUUUUCCCUUGGAUAACAUCAGUAGUGUGGAGAGGGGAGGCCAAUAUGCAUGGGCGACUGCUGGUCUUCCAGAAACAACCUUGCCCGGACUUAUGCCUCAGAGGGUAACUUUCUAGGUGCAAUCCAACGGUCAGUCAUGACUGAAGGGGGUCUCAAUAUAUAUAUAUAUAUAUAUGUAUAUGUAUAUAUAUGAGUGGCUGUGUGGUAAGUAGCUUGCUUACCAACCACAUGAUUCCGGUGGUGUGGAGAGGGAAGGCUGGUAUGCAUGGGCGACUGCUGGUCUUCCAUGAACAACCUUGCCCGGACUUAUGCCUCAGAGGGUAACUUUCUAGGUGCAAUCCAACGGUCAGUCAUGACCAAAGGGGGUCUCAAUAUAUAUUAUAUAUAUAUAUAUGUAUAUAUAUGAGUGGCUGUGUGGUAAGUAGCUUGCUUACCAACCACAUGAUUCCGGUGGUGUGGAGAGGGAAGGCUGGUAUGCAUGGGCGACUGCUGGUCUUCCAUAAACAACCUUGCCUGGACUUAUGCCUCGGAGGGUAACUUUCUAGGUGCAAUCCAACGGUCAGUCAUGACCGAAGGGGGUCUCAAUAUAUAUUAUAUAUAUAUAUAUGUAUAUAUAUGAGUGGCUGUGUGGUAAGUAGCUUGCUUACCAACCACAUGAUUCCGGUGGUGUGGAGAGGGAAGGCUGGUAUGCAUGGGCGACUGCUGGUCUUCCAUGAACAACCUUGCCCGGACUUAUGCCUCGGAGGGUAACUUUCUAGGUGCAAUCCCAUGGUCAUUCAUGACCGAAGGGGGUCUCCUCCUCCAAAUUGUAUACACAGUUAUUCAUGCUAUGACAGAAAGUCACUAACAGAGAAAGGAUGUACAUAUGCAGCUUCUACCACUACAAUGUUGCACACAUACAAUCAUUAAUAUUAUGAUACACAUAUAUGCAACCAAUGAGUGUUAUAAUGACACAAUACACAGCUGGUAGUGUAGCAACAGUGUUCACUUACAGGAUAUAAUGACAUGAUAUUACACAUAUACAGUUCCUAGUAAUAUUGUAGAAUACAUAUACAGUUACUAAUGAUCUAACAAUACACACAUACGACUGCAGAUAGUAAGUUUUACUUCCUGAUAUACAGUCACAACUGAAAUGAUGCACAUACAUAUAUGACUAAUGAUGCAAUAUAAUAAUGCAUAUACAAAUUAUAGAUCAGUAUGUGACAGUUAAUUAGGUGACAUAUAUAUAUCUAUAUGUAUAUAUCUAUCUAUCUAUCUAUAUAUAUAUAUAUAUAUAUACACACAUAUAUAUGUAUAUUUAUAUAUAUAUAUAUAUAUAUGUGUGUGUGUGUGUAUGUAUGUAUAUAUUUAUAUAUAUGUACAUGAAUACACUCGCAUCCACAAGCACACACACAAAUAUAUAUGUAUAUAUAUGUAUGUGUACAUGCAUAUAUGUGUGUAUAUACACAUGCAAAUAUAUAUAUAUAUAUAUAUAUAUUUGAACUUUCCCAUACAUGUGCACACACACACAUACACACACACGCACAUACACAGACACAAAGUCAGUCUCUGAUCAUAGAGUUACGGGUCAGGGAAGGAGACACAAAAGCAAACCAUUGUUCCUUAGUUCUAACCCUCCAGUUCAAAACUGCCAGUGCAACCAAUGAGCCGAAGUAUAAUCAUUAUGCUGCAAUUUGGACAAUACAAUUAGUCUAUGAUGAUGAUGAGGAUGUUGACAAUGACAAAAAAAAAAGUUACAAUGAAACCGUAAGAUAUAAUCUAUACCAGUGGUUUUCAACCAGGGUUCCACGGAACCUUAGGGUUCUGCCAGUACAGUGCAGGGGUUCCGCAAGAAGUUACAAAACUGCUAAAGUCGGCAGUAAUUUUUAAUUCUCCUGUGCAGAUAUGUGUGCAUAAGACUAUGAAAUUAUUGCACAGGGGAUCCUCGAGCCAGUGGAAUGUUUCCUUGGGGUUCCACUCCAGCAAAAAGUUUGAAAAGCACUGAUCUAUACGAUGCUACUCAUUGCUUAAUGCAAGGAAUAACAUUGUAUAAUUUAUGUGACUGCACAAUUAAUAAUAUCAUUUAGCCAUUUUUUUGUAUUUUAAUUGAAUUCAUGCAUGAUAAAUUAUGCAGCUGUAUAAACAACCAAAUAAGCCAUAGAGUGAACACACAUGCACACAGAGUAAAAAAAACAAAACUGUGUGGUUUUUAGAAGAUGCAGAAAUAAUCAUGUUAUUUACGCAGUGAGCAACUAAACAUGUGACACAAACAGUUGUUGCCUAAUCUGUUGCACAAUUUCAAUAAAUGCACAAACAUAUUCAGGAGUGGGCUGUGUGGUAAGUAGCUUGCUUACCAACCACAUGGUUCCGGGUUCAGUCCCACCGCGUGGCAUCUUGGGCAAGUGUCUUUCUGCUAUAGCCCCGGGCCAACCAAUGCCUUGUGAGUGGAUUUGGUAGACAGAAAUUGAAAGAAGCCCGUCGUAUAUAUGUAUAUAUAUAUGUAUGUGUGUGUAUGUGUUUGUCUCCCAAGCAUUGCUUGACAACCGAUGCUGGCGUGUUUAAGUCCCCGUCACUUAGCGGUUCGGCAAAAGAGACCGAUAGAAGCCUGUCGUAUAUAUGUAUAUAUAUAUAUAUAUAUAUAUAUAUAUAUAUGUGCGUGUGUGUGUGUAUGUGUUUGUGUGUCUGUGUUUGUCUCCCUAGCAUUGGUUGACAACCGAUGCUGGCGUGUUUACAUCCCCGUCACUUAGCGGUUUGGCAAAAAGAGACCGAUAGAAUAAGUACUGGGCUUACAAAGAAUAAGUCCCGGGGUCGAUUUGCUCGACUAAAAAAGGCGGUGCUCCAGCAUGGCAGCAGUCAAAUGACUGAAACAAGUAAAAGAGUAAAAGAGAGUAUCCAUACGUGAACAUUAGUGGUGAUACAUGAUGAAAUAUUAACGAUCAUACUAUUUAUGGAACUGUGUAAUUUAUAGAGCAAAGCAUUCAGUUGUUAAUUAACACUUAAAUGAUAUAAUCAGUGAUGGAGCUCUUUAACUAGGGUCGCUGCAGAAAGUUAAAAUAAUAAAAUAAUCACUGAUUCUAAGUUAGGUGCAACAUUAGCUGUUUUGUGUAGAGGAGAUUGAGUCAAUACUAUUGAUCUUAGUAUUUGACUGGUCUUCCAUUUCAUUGAUCCUUGGCUGGAAUUGAAUUCAAAAUGUAAAGACCUAGAACAAAAUACUGUGAAGUAUUAUUUUCUGAUGCCCUAAGGAUUCCACUAAUCCACAACCAUAAUAAUAAUAAUAAUAAUAAUAAAUGAAUGCCCUAAUGCAGUACCAAACAGCGGCUCUCAUGGCUUCUGAUCUUAACUGAUUGGAAGUGUUAUCAUGUACAUUGUUUUUGCCUUGGUAUAAAAGAUGGGCUACAGCAAAUAUUCUGCUCAGUACCACAGAUUUACUUGUCAGUUGUUUGACCGUAACCAGUUGAGCAUGUCCCUCAGUGGCUGACGAUAUGUGCAUCUCUGAUCAUGAGCAGAAGUAGUGGGGGGAGCAUCAUAGCCAUGUGUCAAAAGGAAUUCUUAGAUGUUUGGAUAAUUCAUCUUUGGAAACAUGGGUGGUUCGUUCAACAUCCUUAAGCAACCCUUAAUCAGGGACCUUUUGAGCGGGAUGGGUUACCCAACCAGAAGAAAAUUCUAACUGGGCCCCACCCGCAAGGUCAUGUGCUGUUUAUCUUGUUAUGAGAUCACCAUGUCGCGCACAUAUGGUUGUGAUGCAUGUGCCUGGUGUACCCUUAUCAGACAGGUAGUCAUGAUGGGUAUACUGGGCUUCGCAUAUUUUACCCCAGUGUCACUUUGAUGACAUGCACUGCUCUCUCACUCAAUAAUAAUGAUAAUAAUAAUAAUAAUAAUAAUAAUAAUAAUAAUAAUAAUAAUAAUAACAAUAACAACAUUAAUGAUAAUAAUGAUAUUUCAAAUUUUGGCACAAGGCCAGCAAUUUCAAGGGAGAGGAUAAAUCAGAUACAUCAACCCCAGUGUUCAACUGGUACUUAUUUUGUAGACACUGGAAGGAAUUUGAACUCACUACAUAAAGAUAAGUGAAAUGCUGCUAACAAUUCUGCCAGAUUGUACCAUAAUAAUAAUAAUAAUAAUAAUAAUAAUGAUGAUGAUGAUGAUGAUGAUGAUUAUUUCUACUGAUAUUUUGUGGGAAGAGGGCCAUGUGAUAACAUCAAUCCCUAACUGGUACUUAAUUUAUUGACUCCAAAAGGAUGAAAGGUAAAGUUGACUUCGGCGUGAUUUGAACUCAGAACGUAGCGACAGACACAAUGCCAAUAGGCAUUUUGCCCAGUGUGCUAACGAUUCUGCCAGCUGACUUUGGCACAGGAUUUGAAGUCAGAAUAUAAAGGGCCAGAGUAAAUAACACAAAAAAUUUUCUCCAAUAUUCUAAUAAUUUAUCAAUUAAUAAUAAUAAUAAUAAUAAUAAUAAUAAUAAUAUGGAAACAUGGGUGGUUCUUUCAACAUCCUUAAGCAACCUUUAUUCAGGGACCUUUUGAGCGGGAUGGGUUACCCAACCAGAAGAAAAUUCUAACUGGGCCCCACCCGCAAGGUCAUGCGCUGUUUAUCUUGUUAUGAGAUCACCAUGUCGCGCACAUAUGGUUGUGAUGCAUGUGCCUGGUGUACCCUUAUCAGACGGGUAGUCAUGAUGGGUAUAUUGGGCUUCGUAUAUUUUACCCCAGUGUCACUUUGAUGGCAUGAACUGCUCUCUCACUCAAUAAUAAUAAUAAUCCUUUCUACUAUAGGCACAAGGCUUGAAAUUUUGGGGGCGGUGACUAUUUGAUUAAAUUGACCCCAAUGUUCAACUUUUUUAUUGACCCCGAAAGGAUGGAACGCAAAGUUCAAUAAUAAUAAUGAUGAUGAUGAUGAUGAUGAUGAUGAUGAUAAUAAUAAUAAUAUUUACUCAAUGAUAACUUCAGGCUCAAGUACAGGGUCACACAAAUCAUAGAAAAAGGGGAAAAGAUUGGAUGAUGUUCAUUCAUUUCCCAGGAGUCAUUCAUUGAACCAACUUUCUUUCGAACAGAAUUUAAAAAAAAGUUAGGGACUAAAGCUUGCAGUAUGCCACCUUAUCAAUGUAUACAAAAAACAUUAUUUUGAUUUCAAGAGUUUGUGUGUGCAUGUGUGUGUGAGAGAGAGCGUGUACGCGUGUGUGUUUUGAUUACACACAAGAAUAUUUGAAGUGAAUUAUACAUUGAUGAUGUUGGAGAAGUUUUCUUAUAUUUUUUUCAUCAAUUUUGCCUUUGAAAUUAACACCUUUUCAGCAACAUGAUCUGUCAACGUCAUUAUAACAUAGCAGCGACAUAGAUCUCUUAGCAGUCCGGAAGAACAAGAGGAAAGAGGGUAUUGAGAAGUGCUUGGUAGGGCAGGAUGAAGUUAGUGUCAACAGCUGUGGCUUUCCUUGUUUGGGACAAAGAAGGGAAGCAUAAGAACUUUUGAUUUUAAUUUGCUUUUGAUAUUGAAAUAGAACUUCUGGCAUACAUAAUAUGAUACACAAGAUAAAAGCAGCCGUUAUAUCAUGAUGUUCUUAACACAUUCUUAAUGACUAUGUACAUACACACGUGUGUGUGUGUGUGUACGUGGCUGUAUGAUUAAGAAGUUUGUUUUGCAACCACAUGCUUUUGGGUUCAAUCCCACUAUGUGGUACCUUGGGCAAGUGCCUUCAACUAAAGACCCCAGACAUUGUGAGUGGAUUUGGUAGACGGAAAGUAUAAAACUUUGUUGUAAUGUGUGUGUGUGUGUGUGUGUGCGUGCGUGUGUCUUUGUGUUUCUCUGUCAGUACUUGACAGCCUGAGCUGGUUUGCUUGUGUACCUAUAACUUAGUGGUUUGGCUAAGUUAUGCAAGCACUGAGAGGAAGAGUUGAUUUUUGACUGACUAAAUUCCAAUGACAAAUCAGUAAAAGACAACACACACGUCUGUGUGCAUACAUAUCUACACAGAAUUACGUGUAAAACUAUAAAUGGAUCCUUUGUUUGUUUCGAUGACAAGUAUUCUAGUUGUACUAGUUGUACGAAUGACAGAACUAAUCACACACCGCAUGUGCAUGGAGGUGACUGACAAUUCCACAAACACAUGUUGCCUUAACUCUUUAGCAUUAAAAAAACAGCCAUAUCUGGUCCAUACAUUCUACUUAUUUUAUGUUACAUAAUUCUGAACUUCUUGAAACAGAAGUUGAGUUAAGAAAUUAAAUAUUCUCUGUUUAGUCUUCUGAAUUUUUUAUGAUCUAUGUAAAUAUGUAUGUAUGUAUUAUGUAAGUAUGUAUGUAUGUGUUUAUCUAUGUAUAUGUAAAUGUAAAUGUAUGUGUGUGUGUGAAGCCUAAUUGUGUUCCACAAACAUGUUGCCUUAACUCUUUAGCAUUAAAAAACGGCCAUAUCUGGUCCAUACAUUCUACUUGUUUUAUGUUCAAACAGACCAGAUCCAGCCUCUCACACCUAUCUUACAAUGUCAUUUCAAAAAUAAACAAUAUCAUCAUCAAACUCUCAAAUAUAUGAGAUAAUGCACGAUAAAUUCAAAACAGUCUGAAUAAAUAAACAUUACAUUUGUCAGAGUAAUCUGAAUACUGAAGAGUUAAGAAGAAUAGGCAAGUCAGUGUAUAACAAGGCUUGACAUUUGAAUAUGAUAGCCAAUGAACUUCCUUGCAGUUUCUGUCUACACAAUACUCACAAAGCUUGGGUUGAUCAAAGGCUAUGACAAAGAGCACUUACCCAAAAUGUUAUGCAGUGGGAUUGAUACCAGGUUACCCAAAUAACUGCUAAACAAACCUCUUAACCACUUAUACAGGCUUCCAAUGAUAUAUAUAUAUAUAUAUAAUAUAUAUAAAUAUAUAUAUGUAUGUAUGUAUGUAUGUAUAAUUUCAAUACGGAGCAAAUAAUUCAUGAGAAAAUAUUUGCAAAGGUAUCAUUGACUCUAUUAUUAUCUAGUGUAACAAUUUAAAAAUGACAAUAACAAAAUCAAUUAUAUAGGUGAUUGCAGGCCCCACAAAAAAGGCAUUAAAUAGCUGAAGGAUUAAAAUUAAACAAAGGACAUACUGUUAUUUCCAGCAGGUAGACAUACUUAGUAUGUCCUUUGAUUAAUUUUAAUCCUUCAGUUAUUAUGUAUGUAUGUGUGUGUGUCUGCAACAUAUAUACAUGAUAUCCAUAAAUUAUCUUUACAACUUCCAUAAUUUAUUGUCUAGAUGUGUUUCAUGCAACCAGCCAAUGCAGCCUACGUGGAGGUGUUCUGAUGUUCCUAAUAAAACUGUUUGCUAAUGUUUUCCAAAUGAAGUCUGCUGAGUUAGCCUUCCUUUUCAAAUUUUUCUGAGUUUUUCAAAUUGUUAAAGUAAUUUAUAGACACCCUCUAUGUGAAUAUGUGUGUGUGGUGGGUAAGCAUUAUACUUGUGUAUAGUGGCAUAAACCCUCAAAAAUGAGUACCUAAAACAUGGAGCAGAGUAAAUAUGUAUAUAUUUUUUUUUUUUUAUUACAGAUGGCAAAAUUUCCAUUACUUCACAUUUUCAUAUCUGUAAAUGUAAUAUGUGACAAUUAUUCGGUAGCCAAGAUAAAACUCCGAGUUUUGGAUGCCGAGGUGGAAAUCCAUGCCACCAUCUCUUAAGUUAUCCGGCCAUCGGAAAAGUGAUGGUGGUGUGGAUUUCCACCUCGGCAUCCGAAACGCGGAGUUUUAUCUUGGCUGCCGAAUAAUUAUCACAUAUUACAUUUACAGAUAUAUACAUAUAUAUAUAUAUUCCUCACUCUCUCUCUUUCGGAGAGGCACUGAGCAGCUAUACGCACACAUACACACACGGCAGUAACUUUCAAUCACAAAGCUCCGGUCGGCUUGGGGCUAUAGUGGAAGACACCUACCCAAAGUGCCACGCAGUGGGACUGAACCUGAAACCAUGUAGCUAGGAAGCAAGCUCCCUAACCACACAGCCAUGCCCGCGCCUACAAAAAUGUAUGCACAUAUAUGCAGCGCUAUGCGUAUGGCAAGUUUUCUACGGCCAGAUGCCCUUCCUGAUAUAUAUAUAUAUAUAUAUAUAUAUAUGUAUGUAUAUUAUAUAGAGGGUACUAUUAUUCAUAGGUACCGCACGCUAGGAGGGACUCUUGCAGUCAAAACUACUAAAAUAAACAAAUUGUACCGAAUGCAAAACUUCAAAGCAAGUCAUUUAAAAACAGAAUUUAGUUACAUAUCACCUGUGAUUUCGCAAUCAAUGCAGAAUAUGCAUUCUAUGCUCAACAGUGCAACAAACUCAAGACAUGUAAGGAAAAAACACAAUAUAACAUACCCGACAGCCAACCGCAGAAUUCGUCGUAUCAUGUACGAAUGUUUAUCUUUACAUAUCUAUGAAAAUGGCGGGCUUAUUCGCAAUGCAUUUCGGUAACAAUUUGCCUAUUCAGAACAAAAAUUCAGUAUUGAACUAUUCCGGUGAAAAAUAUAAAUUUAAAAUUAAGGAUAAAAUCUUUAUAAGAAAUUAUCAGUAGUUAGCGUGAAAAAGCUAACUACUGAUAAUUUCUUAUAAAGAUUUUAUCCUUAAUUUUAAAUAUAUAUGUAUGUAUGUAUAAAUGUAUAAAGCCUCGUUUCUGAAUGAUAUAAUACACCACAGUUUCAGCUUGGAAUUGAAACCAGGUCAGUAGAUUAGGGUUUGCUGGAAGUGCAUCACGGACCUCUCUACACUGCAUUCAACACUACAGCACGCCAUCCCUAACAUCUAAACAAAACUGAGACAUCAAUGGAUUUAUUUGUGAUUUACUGCUUGUGCACACACUAAUAUGCAUUUUCUACUUAAUUUUUUUUAUGACUGUAUGAACAAAAGAUAUCAGUGACAGAGGUGAUGCUGGAAUUCCCAGUGUACAGUGAAAGCAUCGAAAGAACAAAAAUCAAACAUAGAUACACUGUCAGAAGAAUCAUUUGUAUCCCUCUCCCACCCAAAAGAUGAUACCUUAUCUUAAAGGAGUGUACCAGAAGAAAAGAGAUGAAAUGAAAUAAACUGAACGGCAAUGAAUAAAUAAAUAAAUAGUCAAUAAAUAAGGGAAUAAGUUAGGAUGUAUUGAUGCUAAAGAUUGUCCAACUGUGCAUUAAGGGUUUAAAAGU
This 11937-nucleotide long non-coding RNA is filed under the name Octopus vulgaris (common octopus). Lineage: Eukaryota; Metazoa; Mollusca; Cephalopoda; Octopoda; Octopodidae. The record is from RNAcentral.